This 469-nucleotide ribosomal RNA is filed under the name uncultured bacterium. RNAcentral describes it as "partial 16S ribosomal RNA". It matches the Rfam family "Bacterial small subunit ribosomal RNA", at positions 27 to 507 of the family's 1533-position model. The record is from RNAcentral.
GGACGAACGCUGGCGGCGUGCUUACCCCAUGCAAGUCGAACGGAAAGGCCCUGCUUUUGUGGGGUGCUCGAGUGGCGAACGGGUGAGUAACACGUGAGUAACCUGCCCUUGACUUUGGGAUAACUUCAGGAAACUGGGGCUAAUACCGGAUAGGAGCUCCUGCUGCAUGGUGGGGGUUGGAAAGUUUCGGCGGUUGGGGAUGGACUCGCGGCUUAUCAGCUUGUUGGUGGGGUAGUGGCUUACCAAGGCUUUGACGGGUAGCCGGCCUGAGAGGGUGACCGGCCACAUUGGGACUGAGAUACGGCCCAGACUCCUACGGGAGGCAGCAGUGGGGAAUAUUGCACAAUGGGCGGAAGCCUGAUGCAGCAACGCCGCGUGCGGGAUGACGGCCUUCGGGUUGUAAACCGCUUUCGCCUGUGACGAAGCGUGAGUGACGGUAAUGGGUAAAGAAGCACCAGCUAACUACGUG